GAUGAACGCUGGCGGCGUGCCUAAUACAUGCCAGUCGAGCGAACAGAUGAGGAGCUUGCUCCUCUGACGUUAGCGGCGGACGGGUGAGUAACACGUGGAUAACCUACCUAUAAGGCUGGGAUAACUUCGGGAAACCGGAGCUAAUACCGGAUAAUAUAUUGAACCGCAUGGUUCAAUAGUGAAAGACGGUUUUGCUGUCACUUAUAGAUGGAUCCGCGCCGCAUUAGCUAGUUGGUAAGGUAACGGCUUACCAAGGCGACGAUGCGUAGCCGACCUGAGAGGGUGAUCGGCCACACUGGAACUGAGACACGGUCCAGACUCCUACGGGAGGCAGCAGUAGGGAAUCUUCCGCAAUGGGCGAAAGCCUGACGGAGCAACGCCGCGUGAGUGAUGAAGGCCUUCGGAUCGUAAAACUCUGUUAUUAGGGAAGAACAAAUGUGUAAGUAACUAUGCACGUCUUGACGGUACCUAAUCAGAAAGCCACGGCUAACUACGUG
Molecule: ribosomal RNA, 497 nt
Filed under: uncultured bacterium
Lineage: Bacteria
Description: partial 16S ribosomal RNA
Rfam family: Bacterial small subunit ribosomal RNA
Source: RNAcentral